GUACGAUAAAGGCAAAACCACUGAAAAGUGGUGACGCAAAGCUACAGGGACUAACAUGGCAUUCUAUGAAUGUCCAAAAUGUCAGCCAGCUACCGCC
This 97-nucleotide non-coding RNA is filed under the name Paenibacillus sp. RNAcentral's name for it is "c-di-GMP sequence". It matches the Rfam family "c-di-GMP-I riboswitch aptamer". From Rfam's summary of the family: GEMM was predicted in a large-scale screen for bacterial structured RNA regulatory elements. Genes associated with GEMM are involved in a diverse array of functions, including chemotaxis regulation, signal transduction, secretion and chitin. The record is from RNAcentral. Lineage: Bacteria; Bacillati; Bacillota; Bacilli; Caryophanales; Paenibacillaceae.